ACAAUGGUGGUUCAGUGGUAGAAUUCUCGCCUUCCAUGUGGGAGACCCGGGUUCGAUUCCCUGCCAAUGAA
Molecule: transfer RNA, 71 nt
Organism: Loxodonta africana (African savanna elephant)
Lineage: Eukaryota; Metazoa; Chordata; Mammalia; Proboscidea; Elephantidae
Rfam family: tRNA
About the family: Transfer RNA (tRNA) molecules are approximately 80 nucleotides in length. Their secondary structure includes four short double-helical elements and three loops (D, anti-codon, and T loops).
Source: Rfam